This 493-nucleotide ribosomal RNA is filed under the name uncultured bacterium. RNAcentral's name for it is "bacterial SSU rRNA". It matches the Rfam family "Bacterial small subunit ribosomal RNA", at positions 49 to 529 of the family's 1533-position model. The record is from RNAcentral.
UAACACAUGCAAGUCGAGCGGCAGCGGGAAAGUAGCUUGCUACUUUUGCCGGCGAGCGGCGGACGGGUGAGUAAUGCCUGGGAAAUUGCCCAGUCGAGGGGGAUAACAGUUGGAAACGACUGCUAAUACCGCAUACGCCCUACGGGGGAAAGCAGGGGACCUUCGGGCCUUGCGCGAUUGGAUAUGCCCAGGUGGGAUUAGCUAGUUGGUGAGGUAAUGGCUCACCAAGGCGACGAUCCCUAGCUGGUCUGAGAGGAUGAUCAGCCACACUGGAACUGAGACACGGUCCAGACUCCUACGGGAGGCAGCAGUGGGGAAUAUUGCACAAUGGGGGAAACCCUGAUGCAGCCAUGCCGCGUGUGUGAAGAAGGCCUUCGGGUUGUAAAGCACUUUCAGCGAGGAGGAAAGGUUGAUGCCUAAUACNUAUCAACUGUGACGUUACUCGCAGAAGAAGCACCGGCUAACUCCGUGCCAGCAGCCNCGGNAAUAAAAA